GACGAACGCUGGCGGCGUGCUUAACACAUGCAAGUCGAACGGAAAGGCCCUGCUUUUGUGGGGUGCUCGAGUGGCGAACGGGUGAGUAACACGUGAGUAACCUGCCCUUGACUUUGGGAUAACUUCAGGAAACUGGGGCUAAUACCGGAUAGGAGCUCCUGCUGCAUGGUGGGGGUUGGAAAGUUUCGGCGGUUGGGGAUGGACUCGCGGCUUAUCAGCUUGUUGGUGGGGUAGUGGCUUACCAAGGCUUUGACGGGUAGCCGGCCUGAGAGGGUGACCGGCCACAUGGGGACUGGGAUACGGCCCAGACUCCUACGGGAGGCAGCGGUGGGGAAAUUGCACAAUGGGCGGAAGCCUGAUGCAGCAACGCCGCGUGCGGGAUGACGGCCUUCGGGUUGUAAACCGCUUUCGCCUGUGACGAAGCGUGAGUGACGGUAAUGGGUAAAGAAGCACCGGCUAACUACGUG
Molecule: ribosomal RNA, 467 nt
Filed under: uncultured bacterium
Lineage: Bacteria
Description: partial 16S ribosomal RNA
Rfam family: Bacterial small subunit ribosomal RNA
Source: RNAcentral